This 492-nucleotide ribosomal RNA is filed under the name uncultured bacterium. Its description in RNAcentral is "partial 16S ribosomal RNA". It matches the Rfam family "Bacterial small subunit ribosomal RNA", at positions 29 to 507 of the family's 1533-position model. The record is from RNAcentral.
AGUGAACGCUGGCGGUAGGCCUAACACAUGCAAGUCGAACGGCAGCACAGUAAGAGCUUGCUCUUACGGGUGGCGAGUGGCGGACGGGUGAGGAAUACAUCGGAAUCUACUUUUUCGUGGGGGAUAACGUAGGGAAACUUACGCUAAUACCGCAUACGACCUACGGGUGAAAGCAGGGGAUCUUCGGACCUUGCGCGAUUGAAUGAGCCGAUGUCGGAUUAGCUAGUUGGCGGGGUAAAGGCCCACCAAGGCGACGAUCCGUAGCUGGUCUGAGAGGAUGAUCAGCCACACUGGAACUGAGACACGGUCCAGACUCCUACGGGAGGCAGCAGUGGGGAAAAUUGGACAAAGGGCGCAAGCCUGAUCCAGCCAUACCGCGUGGGUGAAGAAGGCCUUCGGGUUGUAAAGCCCUUUUGUUGGGAAAGAAAAGCAGCAGGUUAAUACCCCGCUGUUCUGACGGUACCCAAAGAAUAAGCACCGGCUAACUUCGUG